ACGGAAGGCAGCAGUGGGGAAUAUUGCACAAUGGGGGAAACCCUGAUGCAGCGACGCCGCGUGAGUGAAGAAGUAUUUCGGUAUGUAAAGCUCUUUAAGCAGGGAAGAUAAUGACGGUACCUGCAGAAUAAGCCCCGGCUAACUACGUGCCAGCAGCCGCGGUAAUACGUAGGGGGCAAGCGUUAUCCGGAUUUACUGGGUGUAAGGGAGCGUAGACGGUAAAGCAAGUCUGAAGUGAAAUCAUAGGGCUUAACCCUGUAAUUGCUUUGGAAACUGUUUAACUAGAGUACCGGAGGGGCAGGCGGAAUUCCUGGUGUAGCGGUGAAAUGCGUAGAUAUCAGGAAGAACACCGGUGGCGAGGGCGGCCUGCUGGACGGUAACUGACGUUGAGGCUCGAAAGCGUGGGGAGCAAACAGGAUUAGAUACCCUGGUA
Molecule: ribosomal RNA, 433 nt
Filed under: uncultured Lachnospiraceae bacterium
Lineage: Bacteria; Bacillati; Bacillota; Clostridia; Lachnospirales; Lachnospiraceae
Description: partial 16S ribosomal RNA
Rfam family: Bacterial small subunit ribosomal RNA
Source: RNAcentral